UACGGAGGGUGCAAGCGUUAUCCGGAUUCACUGGGUUUAAAGGGUGCGUAGGUGGGCAGGUAAGUCAGUGGUGAAAUCCUGUAGCUUAACUACAGAACUGCCAUUGAUACUAUUUGUCUUGAAUACCCUGGAGGUGAGCGGAAUAUGUCAUGUAGCGGUGAAAUGCUUAGAUAUGACAUAGAACAUCUAUUGCGAAGGCAGCUCACUACGGGAAUAUUGACGCUGAGGCACGAAAGCUAGGGGAGCAAACAGG
RNAcentral lists this ribosomal RNA (253 nucleotides) under uncultured bacterium. RNAcentral's name for it is "partial 16S ribosomal RNA". It matches the Rfam family "Bacterial small subunit ribosomal RNA", at positions 524 to 776 of the family's 1533-position model. The record is from RNAcentral.